RNAcentral lists this ribosomal RNA (524 nucleotides) under uncultured bacterium. Its description in RNAcentral is "partial 16S ribosomal RNA". It matches the Rfam family "Bacterial small subunit ribosomal RNA", at positions 28 to 523 of the family's 1533-position model. The record is from RNAcentral.
GACGAACGCUGGCGGCGUGCCUAAUACAUGCAAGUCGAGCGCAGGAAACUGACGGAACUCUUCGGAGGGAAGGCAGUGGAAUGAGCGGCGGACGGGUGAGUAACACGUAAGGAACCUGCCUCAAGGAUUGGGAUAACUCCGAGAAAUCGGAGCUAAUACCGGGUAGUUCAUCGGACCGCAUGGUCCGUUGAUGAAAGGCGCUCCGGCGUCACCUUGAGAUGGCCUUGCGGUGCAUUAGCUAGUUGGUGGGGUAACGGCCCACCAAGGCGACGAGGCAUAGCCGACCUGGGGGGGUGAUCGGCCACACUGGGACUGAGACACGGCCCAGACUCCUACGGGAGGCAGCAGUAGGGAAUCUUCCACAAUGGACGAAAGUCUGAUGGAGCAACGCCGCGUGAGUGAUGAAGGUUUUCGGAUCGUAAAACUCUGUUGUAAGGGAAGAACACGUACGAGAGGGAAUGCUCGUACCUUGACGGUACCUUACGAGAAAGCCACGGCUAACUACGUGCCAGCCGCCGCAGUAA